RNAcentral lists this ribosomal RNA (2901 nucleotides) under Escherichia coli. RNAcentral's name for it is "23S ribosomal RNA". It matches the Rfam family "Bacterial large subunit ribosomal RNA". Lineage: Bacteria; Pseudomonadati; Pseudomonadota; Gammaproteobacteria; Enterobacterales; Enterobacteriaceae. The record is from RNAcentral.
UUAAGCGACUAAGCGUACACGGUGGAUGCCCUGGCAGUCAGAGGCGAUGAAGGACGUGCUAAUCUGCGAUAAGCGUCGGUAAGGUGAUAUGAACCGUUAUAACCGGCGAUUUCCGAAUGGGGAAACCCAGUGUGAUUCGUCACACUAUCAUUAACUGAAUCCAUAGGUUAAUGAGGCGAACCGGGGGAACUGAAACAUCUAAGUACCCCGAGGAAAAGAAAUCAACCGAGAUUCCCCCAGUAGCGGCGAGCGAACGGGGAGGAGCCCAGAGCCUGAAUCAGUGUGUGUGUUAGUGGAAGCGUCUGGAAAGGCGCGCGAUACAGGGUGACAGCCCCGUACACAAAAAUGCACAUACUGUGAGCUCGAUGAGUAGGGCGGGACACGUGGUAUCCUGUCUGAAUAUGGGGGGACCAUCCUCCAAGGCUAAAUACUCCUGACUGACCGAUAGUGAACCAGUACCGUGAGGGAAAGGCGAAAAGAACCCCGGCGAGGGGAGUGAAAAAGAACCUGAAACCGUGUACGUACAAGCAGUGGGAGCCUCUUUUAUGGGGUGACUGCGUACCUUUUGUAUAAUGGGUCAGCGACUUAUAUUCUGUAGCAAGGUUAACCGAAUAGGGGAGCCGAAGGGAAACCGAGUCUUAACUGGGCGUUAAGUUGCAGGGUAUAGACCCGAAACCCGGUGAUCUAGCCAUGGGCAGGUUGAAGGUUGGGUAACACUAACUGGAGGACCGAACCGACUAAUGUUGAAAAAUUAGCGGAUGACUUGUGGCUGGGGGUGAAAGGCCAAUCAAACCGGGAGAUAGCUGGUUCUCCCCGAAAGCUAUUUAGGUAGCGCCUCGUGAACUCAUCUCCGGGGGUAGAGCACUGUUUCGGCAAGGGGGUCAUCCCGACUUACCAACCCGAUGCAAACUGCGAAUACCGGAGAAUGUUAUCACGGGAGACACACGGCGGGUGCUAACGUCCGUCGUGAAGAGGGAAACAACCCAGACCGCCAGCUAAGGUCCCAAAGUCAUGGUUAAGUGGGAAACGAUGUGGGAAGGCCCAGACAGCCAGGAUGUUGGCUUAGAAGCAGCCAUCAUUUAAAGAAAGCGUAAUAGCUCACUGGUCGAGUCGGCCUGCGCGGAAGAUGUAACGGGGCUAAACCAUGCACCGAAGCUGCGGCAGCGACGCUGAUGCGUUGUUGGGUAGGGGAGCGUUCUGUAAGCCUGUGAAGGUGUGCUGUGAGGCAUGCUGGAGGUAUCAGAAGUGCGAAUGCUGACAUAAGUAACGAUAAAGCGGGUGAAAAGCCCGCUCGCCGGAAGACCAAGGGUUCCUGUCCAACGUUAAUCGGGGCAGGGUGAGUCGACCCCUAAGGCGAGGCCGAAAGGCGUAGUCGAUGGGAAACAGGUUAAUAUUCCUGUACUUGGUGUUACUGCGAAGGGGGACGGAGAAGGCUAUGUUGGCCGGGCGACGGUUGUCCCGGUUUAAGCGUGUAGGCUGGUUUUCCAGGCAAAUCCGGAAAAUCAAGGCUGAGGCGUGAUGACGAGGCACUACGGUGCUGAAGCAACAAAUGCCCUGCUUCCAGGAAAAGCCUCUAAGCAUCAGGUAACAUCAAAUCGUACCCCAAACCGACACAGGUGGUCAGGUAGAGAAUACCAAGGCGCUUGAGAGAACUCGGGUGAAGGAACUAGGCAAAAUGGUGCCGUAACUUCGGGAGAAGGCACGCUGAUAUGUAGGUGAAGCGACUUGCUCGUGGAGCUGAAAUCAGUCGAAGAUACCAGCUGGCUGCAACUGUUUAUUAAAAACACAGCACUGUGCAAACACGAAAGUGGACGUAUACGGUGUGACGCCUGCCCGGUGCCGGAAGGUUAAUUGAUGGGGUCAGCGCAAGCGAAGCUCUUGAUCGAAGCCCCGGUAAACGGCGGCCGUAACUAUAACGGUCCUAAGGUAGCGAAAUUCCUUGUCGGGUAAGUUCCGACCUGCACGAAUGGCGUAAUGAUGGCCAGGCUGUCUCCACCCGAGACUCAGUGAAAUUGAACUCGCUGUGAAGAUGCAGUGUACCCGCGGCAAGACGGAAAGACCCCGUGAACCUUUACUAUAGCUUGACACUGAACAUUGAGCCUUGAUGUGUAGGAUAGGUGGGAGGCUUAGAAGUGUGGACGCCAGUCUGCAUGGAGCCGACCUUGAAAUACCACCCUUUAAUGUUUGAUGUUCUAACGUUGACCCGUGAUCCGGGUUGCGGACAGUGUCUGGUGGGUAGUUUGACUGGGGCGGUCUCCUCCUAAAGAGUAACGGAGGAGCACGAAGGUUGGCUAAUCCUGGUCGGACAUCAGGAGGUUAGUGCAAUGGCAUAAGCCAGCUUGACUGCGAGCGUGACGGCGCGAGCAGGUGCGAAAGCAGGUCAUAGUGAUCCGGUGGUUCUGAAUGGAAGGGCCAUCGCUCAACGGAUAAAAGGUACUCCGGGGAUAACAGGCUGAUACCGCCCAAGAGUUCAUAUCGACGGCGGUGUUUGGCACCUCGAUGUCGGCUCAUCACAUCCUGGGGCUGAAGUAGGUCCCAAGGGUAUGGCUGUUCGCCAUUUAAAGUGGUACGCGAGCUGGGUUUAGAACGUCGUGAGACAGUUCGGUCCCUAUCUGCCGUGGGCGCUGGAGAACUGAGGGGGGCUGCUCCUAGUACGAGAGGACCGGAGUGGACGCAUCACUGGUGUUCGGGUUGUCAUGCCAAUGGCACUGCCCGGUAGCUAAAUGCGGAAGAGAUAAGUGCUGAAAGCAUCUAAGCACGAAACUUGCCCCGAGAUGAGUUCUCCCUGACCCUUUAAGGGUCCUGAAGGAACGUUGAAGACGACGACGUUGAUAGGCCGGGUGUGUAAGCGCAGCGAUGCGUUGAGCUAACCGGUACUAAUGAACCGUGAGGCUUAACCUU